Long non-coding RNA from Mastomys coucha (southern multimammate mouse), 523 nucleotides. RefSeq lists it as uncharacterized. The record is from RefSeq and is a predicted model, not a curated record. The transcript is spliced from 3 exons. Lineage: Eukaryota; Metazoa; Chordata; Mammalia; Rodentia; Muridae.
GUCUGAGCACCCUGAGCCAAUGAAACUUCACAGUAUGGUUUAAAUCUUGAGAAGCAGCCGUGGAAGGGGCGGUACUUCUAGUCCCCAUGCCGGUCCUGUGUUGCAGUCUGUAUGUAGCACGUUCUCGUCUAAGCCCCUGGCGAUCGACUAGAAGGGACGGACAGUGUGUAGUUGGGUCUUUCCUCUUCUGCAACCUGCGCCAAGAGGCUCGGUCUCUUCGCUCUUGGCUUUAGUUUCCAUGGUCCCCGCAGCCGAGUCUUCGAGCCCUUAGAGAUAUCUGGCUACAUCUUCAAACAUCACCAGGAUCUUCAAUGAUGGAUUCAGCUGAGACAAGCCGCCUUACUGUGUAUCUGCCCAUGAAAACCCUAGCCCGGAAAGCAGGAGAAUCAGUAACUGAUAAUUACCUGUGCCCUGACCUGUGUGACGAUCCCUCACAGACCCUAGUAUCUUCACCAGAAGCUUCUGCUGCUGAAGAAUCAUCACUCUUGGUUGUUGUGUUCUGUAUCAGCAUACACAGCGAGAC